This 1468-nucleotide long non-coding RNA is filed under the name Solanum melongena (eggplant). RNAcentral's name for it is "long non-coding RNA (SMEL_LNC000190)". The record is from RNAcentral. Lineage: Eukaryota; Viridiplantae; Streptophyta; Magnoliopsida; Solanales; Solanaceae.
CUGGAGCAAUGUAGCCGUAAGAACCAGCAACUGUAUUGGAGGAACGACCAAAAUCACCAUCAUCGACUAGUUUUGCGAGGCCAAAGUCUGCAAUGUAAGGCUCAAACUCCAGACCAAUGAGAAUGUUGUUGGCCUUGAUGUCUCUGUGAACAAUUGGAGGAGCACAGUCAUGGUGCAAGUAGGCGAGCCCUUGUGCUGCCCCGAGCAAUAUUUGGUAUCUCAAUUCCCAUUCCAAAGGGUUACCGCUUCUCUCAUGGAGAAGACUUCCUAAGCUCCCAUUAGGCAUGUAAUCAUACAUGAGCAAUCUUGUGCUUCUGUUCCAACAACACCCCAAGAAUCGGACAAUGUUCUUGUGUCGAAUUGAACCGAGUGUCUUAACUUCUGCAGAGAAUGAAUCACGUACCCCACAUUUCUCAUCAUUGCCUCCAUUUGUUGUAGUCAUGGUUAUUGGCCAAAGCUUCUUCACUGCUAUGACAUCACCAUUGUUCAUAUCUGCACGAUAAACCAUCCCCGAGCACCCUUUUCCAAUGACAUUAGUAUCCACAAGGCAUCUGAGUAUUUCGUCCACUGAAAAAUUGAGCUUCUGGAAUGGAGUAAACUGCCAAGCCCAAGAAUCUCCCAUCUCUGAAUCAUCAUCCCUUCUCAUCGCCCUUCGUGCGCGUAUGAUAGCAAUAGUUCCCAUAAUCACCAUUGCUAUUGUCAUGAUGACUAGCAAUGCAAUGGCUAAUUUGAGCUUCUUUGACCUUCCCUCAUCAUUUUCGUUUUUAGCUACUCCUACUCCAUCGAUAUUGCUGAGGAAACACGAAGGCCUUCCGAAUGAACAUAGACCUUCAUUUCCAUCUAGGUCUGAUGAUGGCAACUGUCGAAAGAGCUUAUUGUCCGGAAGAUAACCAGUGAAGUUGUUGUAUGAGACAUUCAGUGAGACAAGAUUAUCGAGCCUCGCUAGUGGAUUCAAGUUCCCUUCAAGGUUGUUGUGCGAAAGGUCAAGUAUCGACAGCUUGCUUAGUGAAGAAAUUUCAGCAGGAAUUGGACCUGUUAGUUCAUUUAAACUAAGGUUGAGAGUGAUUUCAAGGGACUCAAUCUUUCCUAACUGCAUCGGUAUGCCUCCCGAGAGCUUAUUGCUGCUAAGAUCAAGCAAUUGAAGACUCGAACACAUGCCAAUAGAUGGAGGUAUAGACCCUGAGAACGAAUUCUUACUGAGAAUCAGCUUAUUCAACGACACAAGACGCCCAAAACUAGCCGGUAUAGGCCCUGCAAACCGGUUAUUUGAAACGUCCAAGACUUGAAUCCCUGAUAGUGAAGACAGAGUGUUAGGCAGGGGACCUUCCAGUGUAUUGCUGCUGAGGUCUACCAUUUGUAGCUCAGUACAGCUACUUAUCUCAUCAGGAACUGGUCCAGAAAGGCGAUUCCCGGACAAAUCAAGAAAGUUUAAGCUCUUAAGACCUCCAAUUUCUUUCGGUAUUCCACC